This 363-nucleotide ribosomal RNA is filed under the name uncultured bacterium. Its description in RNAcentral is "bacterial SSU rRNA". It matches the Rfam family "Bacterial small subunit ribosomal RNA", at positions 28 to 353 of the family's 1533-position model. The record is from RNAcentral.
GAUGAACGCUGGCGGCGUGCCUAAUACAUGCAAGUCGAACGCAUUGUGGUUGAAAUGAUAUGAAGAACUUGUUCAGAUUUGAUUUUCAACAUUGCAAUGAGUGGCGAACGGGUGAGUAACACGUGGGAAACCUACCUCUUAGCAGGGGAUAACAUUUGGAAACAAAUGCUAAUACCGUAUAAUAAUUAAAACCGCAUGGUUUUAGUUUAAAAGAUGGUCUUGCUAUCACUAAGAGAUGGUCCCGCGGUGUAUUAGUUAGUUGGUGAGGUAAUGGCUCACCAAGACAAUGAUACAUAGCCGAAGUUGAGAGACUGACCGGCCACAAUGGGACUGAGACAGGCCCAUACUCCUAGGGAGGCAGCA